Molecule: ribosomal RNA, 253 nt
Filed under: uncultured bacterium
Lineage: Bacteria
Description: partial 16S ribosomal RNA
Rfam family: Bacterial small subunit ribosomal RNA
Source: RNAcentral
UACGAAGGGGGCUAGCGUUGUUCGGAAUUACUGGGCGUAAAGCGCACGUAGGCGGCCUUUUAAGUCAGGGGUGAAAUCCCGGGGCUCAACCUCGGAACUGCCUUUGAUACUGGAAGUCUUGAGUAUGGAAGAGGUAAGUGGAAUUGCGAGUGUAGAGGUGAAAUUCGUAGAUAUUCGCAGGAACACCAGUGGCGAAGGCGGCUUACUGGUCCAUUACUGACGCUGAGGUGCGAAAGCGUGGGGAGCAAACAGG